Non-coding RNA from Pantherophis guttatus, 663 nucleotides. Lineage: Eukaryota; Metazoa; Chordata; Lepidosauria; Squamata; Colubridae. The record is from RefSeq and is a predicted model, not a curated record.
GCUUUUGUGUUUAUAUUCUUUAUAUGUAAGAUCAACUGUACUCAACCCAAUUAGCAUUCUGCUUUCACAGUAAUCAACUAAAUACCUACAGGAGCCUACAAGCAGAACAUGGGUCCAAACACCCUGUCUGUCUCAGCAACUGGUACCAAUUUCUAAUCCAGGAGAAAGCGGCAGGUUGCAAUACACAGCAGUUUCACCUGAUCUCAGAGAAGUAACCAAUGAUCUCUCGACAGUAACUAAUUAAAAGGGAAGAGAGGCCUUUCCUGGUUUCUCCUUCUCCGUGACAUCCCAACCCCACAAAGACGUAAGAAAACGCAAAGAUAUUGCCGUCUGCCUUCCCACACCCAAAAGACCUGCUCUGCGCUGGGUCCUCGUCGCUGGGCUCCUCGAUCACGAGUCGAAGGGAGUAAACAGACCACAAGAAUCAUCCUAUAAUUUCUAUAUCCAGAAGGACAGAGAGCAAGUUUCAAUUCCUUCAGGAAAGCUAAAAAGAUCAAGUGCUGCAAGAGUCCCAAACAAAGUACCCCAGAAAUUCUUAACACUAGAUAGAUGGAAAACCAAUGAAAUGAUGCAAUGGAUUUAAAAAAAUCACCUUUACUCCUGAAACAAUCACACCAUCAGCAGACUUAACCAUGUUUUUAAAGAAGUCUUCAAGUUUCUCUU